Molecule: transfer RNA, 73 nt
Filed under: Micromonospora sp. CNZ295
Lineage: Bacteria; Bacillati; Actinomycetota; Actinomycetes; Micromonosporales; Micromonosporaceae
Description: tRNA-His
Rfam family: tRNA
About the family: Transfer RNA (tRNA) molecules are approximately 80 nucleotides in length. Their secondary structure includes four short double-helical elements and three loops (D, anti-codon, and T loops). Further hydrogen bonds mediate the characteristic L-shaped molecular structure. tRNAs have two regions of fundamental functional importance: the anti-codon, which is responsible for specific mRNA codon recognition, and the 3' end, to which the tRNAs corresponding amino acid is attached (by aminoacyl-tRNA synthetases). tRNAs cope with the degeneracy of the genetic code in two manners: having more than one tRNA (with a specific anti-codon) for a particular amino acid; and 'wobble' base-pairing, i.e. permitting non-standard base-pairing at the 3rd anti-codon position.
Source: RNAcentral
GUGGCUGUAGCUCAGUUGGCAGAGCACCGGGUUGUGGUCCCGGUUGUCGUGGGUUCGAUUCCCAUCAGUCACC